Molecule: transfer RNA, 65 nt
Filed under: Sclerodermus sichuanensis
Lineage: Eukaryota; Metazoa; Arthropoda; Insecta; Hymenoptera; Bethylidae
Description: tRNA-Thr
Source: RNAcentral
AUUAAUAUAGUUUAAAAUUAAAAUAAUAAUUUUGUAAAUUAUAGAUAAGAGUUUUCUUUUUUAAU